RNAcentral lists this ribosomal RNA (576 nucleotides) under Bjerkandera adusta. RNAcentral describes it as "eukaryotic LSU rRNA". It matches the Rfam family "Eukaryotic large subunit ribosomal RNA", at positions 89 to 648 of the family's 3401-position model. The record is from RNAcentral. Lineage: Eukaryota; Fungi; Basidiomycota; Agaricomycetes; Polyporales; Phanerochaetaceae.
GCGAGUGAAGCGGGAAAAGCUCAAAUUUAAAAUCUGGCGGUCUUCGGCCGUCCGAGUUGUAAUCUGGAGAAGCGUUUUCCGCGCUGGACCGUGUACAAGUCUCUUGGAACAGAGCGUCAUAGAGGGUGAGAAUCCCGUCUUUGACACGGACUACCAGUGCUAUGUGAUGCGCUCUCGAUGAGUCGAGUUGUUUGGGAAUGCAGCUCAAAAUGGGUGGUAAAUUCCAUCUAAAGCUAAAUAUUGGCGAGAGACCGAUAGCGAACAAGUACCGUGAGGGAAAGAUGAAAAGCACUUUGGAAAGAGAGUUAAACAGUACGUGAAAUUGCUGAAAGGGAAACGAUUGAAGUCAGUCGCGUGUGCUAGAACUCAGCCUUGCUUUUGCUUGGUGCAUUUUCUAGUGUACGGGCCAGCAUCAGUUUUGGCCGCCGGAAAAAGGCCUUGGGAAUGUGGCACCUUCGGGUGUGUUAUAGCCCUUGGUUGUAUACGGUGGCUGGGACUGAGGAACAUAGCAUGCCUUUACGGCGGGGCUUCGGCCACCUUCAUGCUUUGGAUGCUGGCGUAAUGGCUUUAAACGAC